RNAcentral lists this ribosomal RNA (461 nucleotides) under Lactobacillus crispatus. RNAcentral describes it as "bacterial SSU rRNA". It matches the Rfam family "Bacterial small subunit ribosomal RNA", at positions 28 to 463 of the family's 1533-position model. Lineage: Bacteria; Bacillati; Bacillota; Bacilli; Lactobacillales; Lactobacillaceae. The record is from RNAcentral.
GACGAACGCUGGCGGCGUGCCUAAUACAUGCAAGUCGAGCGAGCGGAACUAACAGAUUUACUUCGGUAAUGACGUUAGGAAAGCGAGCGGCGGAUGGGUGAGUAACACGUGGGGAACCUGCCCCAUAGUCUGGGAUACCACUUGGAAACAGGUGCUAAUACCGGAUAAGAAAGCAGAUCGCAUGAUCAGCUUUUAAAAGGCGGCGUAAGCUGUCGCUAUGGGAUGGCCCCGCGGUGCAUUAGCUAGUUGGUAAGGUAAAGGCUUACCAAGGCGAUGAUGCAUAGCCGAGUUGAGAGACUGAUCGGCCACAUUGGGACUGAGACACGGCCCAAACUCCUACGGGAGGCAGCAGUAGGGAAUCUUCCACAAUGGACGCAAGUCUGAUGGAGCAACGCCGCGUGAGCGAAGAAGGUUUUCGGAUCGUAAAGCUCUGUUGUUGGUGAAGAAGGAUAGAGGUAGUA